Molecule: long non-coding RNA, 3674 nt
Organism: Scophthalmus maximus (turbot)
Lineage: Eukaryota; Metazoa; Chordata; Actinopteri; Pleuronectiformes; Scophthalmidae
Exons: 4
Source: RefSeq, a predicted model, not a curated record
UGUUGCGUUUGUGGCCAUCUGGUGCACCACCACCCUGCGCAGCAGAGAUUUGAGUCCCAUCUUCAAUUCCCUUUCAAUGGACAGAAACUGCACCCGGGUUAGGCGGCUGGUCCUGGGCGGGACACCCAUCAUAAACUUAGAGAUCCUCGCCAGCUCAUCCAGGAACAGCCUGUCAGACAGCCUGCUCACAUUGUAGCCAAUAUAGAGCAGGAAGGUCUUUACCUGGCUGACCUUUGAGGUGGCUCAUGGUGGGCCUUGUAUGUUGGCAGUGUGAUCAGCCUCAUGCGGUUCCCCUUGCCAAUGCCCGGCCUCCACGGGCUGAAUGGUUUCUGAGGGGAUUGGGUGGCUCUGCCCUCUGCAGCAGCAGCAGUCAAGGAUGGGCCUGCCUCCUCCACCACAGCCGAGGACAGGCCUGCCUCCUCCACACAUUCCUGUCAAAGUUGGUGAAAAACAAAAAAAUCAGACACACAAAGACAGGGAAAAUUGAACAAAGACAAAGAGAGAGAGAGACUCACCUCCUCCUGGUACUCCCCUCUAGUGGAGGUGCUGCUCCUCUUGCUGGAGUGCAGCAGCUGUCGCACCCUGCUGCGGAGCACUCCAACGUCGAGGGGCAGCUGAUCCCUCUCCGCCCGCAUCUUAACCAGCUCACUGGCAUGGUGCUGAAUUGUCUCGUUGCAUUCUGCACUGCCACAGUCAGUGCGAGGGGACAUGGGUGCCAGGUCUGGUUCCUCUAAAGACAAUGAAGUGUCCAAGUCCAACCUGUUGACCAUGGCUGGGGUGCGGUUAGAGGGCCUCAGGUCACCCAGAAGCCUCAGAGUGAACCUGCCUUUAGCCUCAAAGAGCAUGGCCACCCUCUCUGGGAUUGUCAACUCAGUUUGGGCUUGCUUAACGUGCCUGUCCAGAUGGGUCAACGUGUAGUUGCAUCCAGGAACCAGGCAGGGAGCAGUACGGAUAUUUACUCUCUCUGCUGCGAGGUUGAGCAGUAUCCGCCUCUCUUAUACUUUGCUGACACAAUGAGUUUUUGAGGUGUUUGUGCAACGCGCUGAAGUAGCGGUGGCAGAUCGGACAACUAUGCAUCGUUGCCUGUAAUACACAACAACAUCAACAACAACAACAAUAAUAUUAAUGAUAAUUAAUAUUGAAAAUUAAAUGAUGCUGUGAUGUUCACGGACAGACUGUAACCUACACCACAUAUUGUCUGCUGCAACCAACUCUGUUUCACCGCACCUCUCCUUGAUCACUGGGGAUGAACGUAGACAGUUGACGCGUCGUUGCAGCCCUAAUGGUGAUGUUUGACUGCCAAUCUUUUGAUUACAAUCAUCUCAUUGCAAACUAUUCUUCUGAAAUUGUUUAAAGGCAUCUGAAAUAAUACCAAUUUUAUUAAUUUUUUUAAUUGAAAUAUAGAUAUGGAUUAAAAUUAGGAUUAGAAAAAUGGUUAGUGGGCUUUAGAACAGCAAAUGUUUAUACUUACGUAAUCAAAAUCCAUGAAUCAUGAAUUCAGAAUAUUAAUAACAGUAUACUGCUUGACAUUGUCACAAAACUCAAACUACACAAAGGUCAGUGUAUAUAGUCUGUGCUCUUACCUGACAGCAGUAGUAAGUAAAGGGUCAAGUGUCGAGAUUGAAAACUACACUUGAAGCAAACCAUUCAGCUUUCAUUCAGGUUUCAUAUCUAAACAAGCUGCAACAAUGUGACCUGCGAGAGAACCUGAUGAGCCGUGAAGCAGAGCUGAACAGCAAACUGUCACAGUGACAGAAAAUCCACUGGUCUGUCUCUCUGCCGACACGCACAUCAUCGCCUCAUGCUGACCAAAAUAAGUUGUCAGCUUGACAAGGUAUAUAGGUGGAGUUGUGUUUGUAAAGAAGAAGAGUAAGAAAACAACUCUUGGAAAUUACAAUAACAUUGAAUGUAAUCCCACUUGUUUUACUCACCCAUGGCUUCUGUGAUUGUCAUCAAGGUUAUCUCGGCUCCAAAUUAGAAACAUUUACUGAAUAUCGUGUUAAUGCUGGGGUCAUCGAGUUUGAAAAACCAGGGCAUUUACCAGGCAGUUAUGAAGAGUAUGAGCAUUAAAUUUAGAUUUAGAUGUUGCUUGCAUAUACACUAGUGCUUCCCAACAUCUGUAAACACCCUGGGAUGAGUAAACCUUGAUGGUGUUCCCCUCUAAAUGAACAUAAUUGUUGAAAGUACAGAUUUUUAUACGUGUAUGAUCUUUUCUGACAUUCCCAUUACUUCCCAUAACCCACCACGAUUUUUCGAACACGCACACAGGCACAGAACCACAUUUAAACAUAGACGAAAACAUACUUGUGAAGCUGUCAAUAUGUUGCUCAUAUUAUCAUUAUUUUUCUAUUUUUGUGAACAUUCUCAAAACCAUUGUAAUAUUCUUUGCCAUAAUGUCCAUGGUUCCAUGUCACCUGUUGUAGCGGGGGGGGGGGGGGGCGGGGGGACUUUAUUUUACAGCGCACAAUGACGCUGUAAUGAUGCAGCUGCAUCUUCCCGGCAAAUCUUUGGAAGCUUUUGUGCUGGUUAAGAUGUGUUGUGAAGCUCUCUGCCUGUUGAUCAAGUUAGAAUGUUCGAAAGUCUUUUUAUUUUGUCUUACACUAUGAAUGUAACCGCAUCAUUAACAACAUAUUGCUGAGUAUUUACGUUUUAUCUGUCGGUGAUGUUGACCUAAUUUGCAUAUUUUUGGACACAAGGGAGAGCCUGUGCGUGUUGACUGUGUUCCUCGCUACUCCCAUACGUGUGUUAUGGUGUUAAAUUGUUAUUUGUCAUUGUCCUAUGUAUUUUUAUGAAGGUGCACUUUAUUUAUCCUAUGAAGGAAUUACUUUUAAUUUUCAUUUUAAUGGAGUGUUAAAUUUUGUUUCAGUAGUAAAUUUACAAAAUGUUCCUGUUUUAUUUUAAAUUUAAGCUUUAAAUACAUUUGUUAUUACUGUAAGGGCACACCUGUUUUAGUCUGUACAUUUUAUUCAUAGCAAUGUUUUAUGUAUAUGUUUUUGAAAAACUUUGGAAGCUUUUGUGCUGGAGACUGAGGGAGAGCCUGUGUGUGUUGACCAUGUCCCUCGCUACUCUCAUAGGACUAAAUGUGCAGAUCCUGAAUCCUGGUCUGAGUGGUGUUUUUCCGGGUUUGAGCGACCAUACUACAGCUGUGACACUUGCCUCUGAUCAAGCCAAGUGGACAAACAGUGAUGCACUCCCUUUGCAAGCGAUACCCCUCACACUCAGGAUAAACCACAGAACAACUCCAGAUUUUUCAUGUUGGGAAUACUAACCACUCUUCUCUGCUCUCCAAAACCACUCUCCUCCCUUAGAACUGUGACGCUGGCAAUAAAAAAAUUAAGUUUGACCAUGGUAGCUCAAAGCAGGGCUUUCAGAGAGUGCUGGUGAAAGUAAUAGAGACACGCGUGCCGAAUGUACACACAUGCCUACACAUUGGACACCUGAGCCUUGCAGGGUCUGUGAAAGACUGAUCUCUUAUUUAGUACAGGGAGUCAUAGAUUUCUCACUACCCUGACGUCACUGCCAACACAUGAUCGCAGUCGUUGUCCCAGUCGUGACAGUUAGCACGUCUGUAUUUUGAUGUUACUGAGCACAGUCAGUCAGAGUUUAUUGUCAGAUCGUUCUUCUGUUCAUCUGGACUUAUGUUACUUUGACAUUAUAAAAUCAUCAGAAUAAGA